CGAUGCAUGGCGAGCCUGACCGCCUCCGGGAGUGAAGAAGGCCUUCGGGUUGUAAAGCUCUUUCGCAAGGGAAGAAAACUUAGGCGCUAAUAUCGCUUGAGGUUGACGGUACCUUGAUAAGAAGCACCGGCUAACUACGUGCCAGCAGCCGCGGUAAUACGUAGGGUGCGAGCGUUAAUCGGAAUUACUGGGCGUAAAGCGUGCGCAGGCGGUUUUGUAAGUCAGAUGUGAAAUCCCCGAGCUCAACUUGGGAACUGCGUUUGAAACUAUAAGACUAGAAUAUGUCAGAGGGGGGUAGAAUUCCACGUGUAGCAGUGAAAUGCGUAGAGGUGUGGAGGAAUACCAAUGGCGAAGGCAGCCCCCUGGGAUAAUAUUGACGCUCAUGCACGAAAG
Molecule: ribosomal RNA, 393 nt
Filed under: uncultured bacterium
Lineage: Bacteria
Description: bacterial SSU rRNA
Rfam family: Bacterial small subunit ribosomal RNA
Source: RNAcentral